Molecule: ribosomal RNA, 253 nt
Filed under: uncultured bacterium
Lineage: Bacteria
Description: partial 16S ribosomal RNA
Rfam family: Bacterial small subunit ribosomal RNA
Source: RNAcentral
UACGGAGGGUGCAAGCGUUAAUCGGAAUUACUGGGCGUAAAGCGUGCGCAGGCGGUUUGUUAAGUCCGUUGUGAAAGCCCCGAGCUCAACUUGGGAAUUGCAGUGGAUACUGGCAGGCUGGAGUACGGUAGAGGAAGGUGGAAUUCCCGGUGUAGCAGUGAAAUGCGUAGAUAUCGGGAGGAACACCAGUGGCGAAGGCGGCCUUCUGGCCUGUUCUUGACGCUGAGGCGCGAAAGCUAGGGGAGCAAACGGG